ACUCAAAGGAAUUGACGGGGGCCCGCACAAGCGGUGGAGCAUGUGGUUUAAUUCGAUGCAACGCGAAGAAUCUUACCUGGGCUUGACAUCCCGGAACAUCUGUAGAGAUAUGGACUUGCCCUUUCGGGGGAAUCCGGUGACAGGUGCUGCAUGGCUGUCGUCAGCUCGUGUCGUGAGAUGUUGGGUUAAGUCCCGCAACGAGCGCAACCCCCUAUUUCUAGUUACCAGCAAGUAAUGUUGGGGACUCUAGAGAGACUGCCAGUGUAAUAAACUGGAGGAAGGUGGGGACGACGUCAAGUCAUCAUGGUCCUUAUGUCCAGGGCUACACACGUGCUACAAUGGUCGGUACAGAGGGAAGCGAGACAGUGAUGUUUAGCCAAUCUCCGAAAGCCGAUCUCAGUUCGGAUUGGAGUCUGCAACUCGACUCCAUGAAGUUGGAAUCGCUAGUAAUCGCGUGUCAGCGUAACGCGGUGAAUACGUUCCCGGGCCUUGUACACACCGCCCGUCAAG
RNAcentral lists this ribosomal RNA (510 nucleotides) under uncultured bacterium. RNAcentral describes it as "bacterial SSU rRNA". It matches the Rfam family "Bacterial small subunit ribosomal RNA", at positions 899 to 1401 of the family's 1533-position model. The record is from RNAcentral.